Molecule: ribosomal RNA, 497 nt
Filed under: uncultured bacterium
Lineage: Bacteria
Description: partial 16S ribosomal RNA
Rfam family: Bacterial small subunit ribosomal RNA
Source: RNAcentral
GAUGAACGCUGGCGGCGUGCCUAAUACAUGCAAGUCGAGCGAACAGACGAGGAGCUUGCUCCUCUGAUGUUAGCGGCGGACGGGUGAGUAACACGUGGAUAACCUACCUAUAAGACUGGGAUAACUUCGGGAAACCGGAGCUAAUACCGGAUAAUAUUUUGAACCGCAUGGUUCAAUAGUGAAAGACGGUUUUGCUGUCACUUAUAGAUGGAUCCGCGCUGCAUUAGCUAGUUGGUAAGGUAACGGCUUACCAAGGCGACGAUGCGUAGCCGACCUGAGAGGGUGAUCGGCCACACUGGAACUGAGACACGGUCCAGACUCCUACGGGAGGCAGCAGUAGGGAAUCUUCCGCAAUGGGCGAAAGCCUGACGGAGCAACGCCGCGUGAGUGAUGAAGGUCUUCGGAUCGUAAAACUCUGUUAUUAGGGAAGAACAAAUGUGUAAGUAACUAUGCACAUCUUGACGGUACCUAAUCAGAAAGCCACGGCUAACUACGUG